AUUGAACGCUGGCGGCAGGCCUAACACAUGCAAGUCGAGCGGAUGAAGGGAGCUUGCUCCUGGAUUCAGCGGCGGACGGGUGAGUAAUGCCUAGGAAUCUGCCUGGUAGUGGGGGAUAACGUCCGGAAACGGGCGCUAAUACCGCAUACGUCCUGAGGGAGAAAGUGGGGGAUCUUCGGACCUUACGCUAUCAGAUGAGCCUAGGUCGGAUUAGCUAGUUGGUGGGGUAAAGGCCUACAAAGGCGACGAUCCGUAACUGGUCUGAGAGGAUGAUCAGUCACACUGGAACUGAGACACGGUCCAGACUCCUACGGGAGGCAGCAGUGGGGAAUAUUGGACAGUGGGCGAAAGCCUGAUCCAGCCAUGCCGCGUGGGUGAAGAAGGUCUUCGGAUUGUAAAGCACUUUAAGUUGGGAAGAAAGGCAGUAAGUUAAUACCUUGCUGUUUUGACGUUACCAACAGAAUAAGCACCGGCUAACUUCGUG
This 484-nucleotide ribosomal RNA is filed under the name uncultured bacterium. Its description in RNAcentral is "partial 16S ribosomal RNA". It matches the Rfam family "Bacterial small subunit ribosomal RNA", at positions 30 to 507 of the family's 1533-position model. The record is from RNAcentral.